This 870-nucleotide ribosomal RNA is filed under the name Lobaria irrugulosa. RNAcentral's name for it is "partial large subunit ribosomal RNA". It matches the Rfam family "Eukaryotic large subunit ribosomal RNA", at positions 50 to 933 of the family's 3401-position model. The record is from RNAcentral. Lineage: Eukaryota; Fungi; Ascomycota; Lecanoromycetes; Peltigerales; Lobariaceae.
GCGGAGGAAAAGAAACCAACAGGGAUUGCCUCAGUAACGGCGAGUGAAGCGGCAACAGCUCAAAUUUGAAAUCUGACCCCCUCGGGGCCCGAGUUGUAAUUUGUAGAGGGUGUUUCGGGCGCGGCGCCGGUCUAAGUUCCUUGGAACAGGACGUCAUAGAGGGUGAGAAUCCCGUAUGCGACCGGCGAUCAAGCCCAUGUGAAGCCCCUUCGACGAGUCGAGUUGUUUGGGAAUGCAGCUCAAAAUGGGUGGUAAAUUCCAUCUAAAGCUAAAUAUUGGCCGGAGACCGAUAGCGGACAAGUAGAGUGAUCGAAAGAUGAAAAGCACUUUGGAAAGAGAGUCAAACAGUACGUGAAAUUGUUGAAAGGGAAGCGCUUGCCACCAGACCGGUCCGGGGGUGAUCAGCCGCUGCUCGUCAGCUGGUGCACUCGCCCUCGAUUCCGGCCAGCAUCGGUUUGGGCGGCGGGAGAAAAGCCCCGGGAAUGUAGCUUCUUUCGGGGAGUCUUAUAGCCCGGGGCGCAAUGCCGCCCGCCCGGACCGAGGACCGCGCUUCGGCUAGGAUGCUGGCGUAAUGGUUGCAAGCGACCCGUCUUGAAACACGGACCAAGGAGUCUAACAUCUAUGCGAGUGUUUGGGUGUCAAACCCAGGCGCGGAAUGAAAGUGAACGGAGGUGGGAGCCCGUCGCACGGCGCACCAUCGACCGAUCCAGAUGUCUUCGGAUGGAUUUGAGUAUGAGCAUAGCUGUUGGGACCCGAAAGAUGGUGAACUAUGCCCGGAUAGGGUGAAGCCAGAGGAAACUCUGGUGGAGGCUCGCAGCGGUUCUGACGUGCAAAUCGAUCGUCAAAUCUAGGCAUAGGGGCGAAAGACCA